UACGGAGGGUGCGAGCGUUGUCCGGAAUCAUUGGGCGUAAAGGGCGCGUAGGUGGCACGAUCAGCGUGCGGUGAAAGCUCGGGGCUCAACCCCGGGUCGGCCGUGCGAACUGGGCUCACUGGAGCAUAGUAGAGGCAGGUGGAAUUCCGGGUGUAGCGGUGGAAUGCGUAGAGAUCCGGAAGAACACCGGUGGCGAAGGCGGCCUGCUGGGCUAUGGCUGACACUGAGGCGCGACAGCGUGGGGAGCAAACAGG
RNAcentral lists this ribosomal RNA (254 nucleotides) under uncultured bacterium. RNAcentral describes it as "partial 16S ribosomal RNA". It matches the Rfam family "Bacterial small subunit ribosomal RNA", at positions 524 to 776 of the family's 1533-position model. The record is from RNAcentral.